AGCGUACACGGUGGAUGCCCUGGCAGUCAGAGGCGAUGAAGGACGUGCUAAUCUGCGAUAAGCGUCGGUAAGGUGAUAUGAACCGUUAUAACCGGCGAUUUCCGAAUGGGGAAACCCAGUGUGUUUCGACACACUAUCAUUAACUGAAUCCAUAGGUUAAUGAGGCGAACCGGGGGAACUGAAACAUCUAAGUACCCCGAGGAAAAGAAAUCAACCGAGAUUCCCCCAGUAGCGGCGAGCGAACGGGGAGCAGCCCAGAGCCUGAAUCAGUGUGUGUGUUAGUGGAAGCGUCUGGAAAGGCGCGCGAUACAGGGUGACAGCCCCGUACACAAAAAUGCACAUGCUGUGAGCUCGAUGAGUAGGGCGGGACACGUGGUAUCCUGUCUGAAUAUGGGGGGACCAUCCUCCAAGGCUAAAUACUCCUGACUGACCGAUAGUGAACCAGUACCGUGAGGGAAAGGCGAAAAGAACCCCGGCGAGGGGAGUGAAAAAGAACCUGAAACCGUGUACGUACAAGCAGUGGGAGCACGCUUAGGCGUGUGACUGCGUACCUUUUGUAUAAUGGGUCAGCGACUUAUAUUCUGUAGCAAGGUUAACCGAAUAGGGGAGCCGAAGGGAAACCGAGUCUUAACUGGGCGUUAAGUUGCAGGGUAUAGACCCGAAACCCGGUGAUCUAGCCAUGGGCAGGUUGAAGGUUGGGUAACACUAACUGGAGGACCGAACCGACUAAUGUUGAAAAAUUAGCGGAUGACUUGUGGCUGGGGGUGAAAGGCCAAUCAAACCGGGAGAUAGCUGGUUCUCCCCGAAAGCUAUUUAGGUAGCGCCUCGUGAAUUCAUCUCCGGGGGUAGAGCACUGUUUCGGCAAGGGGGUCAUCCCGACUUACCAACCCGAUGCAAACUGCGAAUACCGGAGAAUGUUAUCACGGGAGACACACGGCGGGUGCUAACGUCCGUCGUGAAGAGGGAAACAACCCAGACCGCCAGCUAAGGUCCCAAAGUCAUGGUUAAGUGGGAAACGAUGUGGGAAGGCCCAGACAGCCAGGAUGUUGGCUUAGAAGCAGCCAUCAUUUAAAGAAAGCGUAAUAGCUCACUGGUCGAGUCGGCCUGCGCGGAAGAUGUAACGGGGCUAAACCAUGCACCGAAGCUGCGGCAGCGACGCUGAUGCGUUGUUGGGUAGGGGAGCGUUCUGUAAGCCUGUGAAGGUGUACUGUGAGGUAUGCUGGAGGUAUCAGAAGUGCGAAUGCUGACAUAAGUAACGAUAAAGCGGGUGAAAAGCCCGCUCGCCGGAAGACCAAGGGUUCCUGUCCAACGUUAAUCGGGGCAGGGUGAGUCGACCCCUAAGGCGAGGCCGAAAGGCGUAGUCGAUGGGAAACAGGUUAAUAUUCCUGUACUUGGUGUUACUGCGAAGGGGGGACGGAGAAGGCUAUGUUGGCCGGGCGACGGUUGUCCCGGUUUAAGCGUGUAGGCUGGUUUUCCAGGCAAAUCCGGAAAAUCAAGGCUGAGGCGUGAUGACGAGGCACUACGGUGCUGAAGCAACAAAUGCCCUGCUUCCAGGAAAAGCCUCUAAGCAUCAGGUAACAUCAAAUCGUACCCCAAACCGACACAGGUGGUCAGGUAGAGAAUACCAAGGCGCUUGAGAGAACUCGGGUGAAGGAACUAGGCAAAAUGGUGCCGUAACUUCGGGAGAAGGCACGCUGAUAUGUAGGUGAAGUCCCUCGCGGAUGGAGCUGAAAUCAGUCGAAGAUACCAGCUGGCUGCAACUGUUUAUUAAAAACACAGCACUGUGCAAACACGAAAGUGGACGUAUACGGUGUGACGCCUGCCCGGUGCCGGAAGGUUAAUUGAUGGGGUUAGCGCAAGCGAAGCUCUUGAUCGAAGCCCCGGUAAACGGCGGCCGUAACUAUAACGGUCCUAAGGUAGCGAAAUUCCUUGUCGGGUAAGUUCCGACCUGCACGAAUGGCGUAAUGAUGGCCAGGCUGUCUCCACCCGAGACUCAGUGAAAUUGAACUCGCUGUGAAGAUGCAGUGUACCCGCGGCAAGACGGAAAGACCCCGUGAACCUUUACUAUAGCUUGACACUGAACAUUGAGCCUUGAUGUGUAGGAUAGGUGGGAGGCUUUGAAGUGUGGACGCCAGUCUGCAUGGAGCCGACCUUGAAAUACCACCCUUUAAUGUUUGAUGUUCUAACGUUGACCCGUAAUCCGGGUUGCGGACAGUGUCUGGUGGGUAGUUUGACUGGGGCGGUCUCCUCCUAAAGAGUAACGGAGGAGCACGAAGGUUGGCUAAUCCUGGUCGGACAUCAGGAGGUUAGUGCAAUGGCAUAAGCCAGCUUGACUGCGAGCGUGACGGCGCGAGCAGGUGCGAAAGCAGGUCAUAGUGAUCCGGUGGUUCUGAAUGGAAGGGCCAUCGCUCAACGGAUAAAAGGUACUCCGGGGAUAACAGGCUGAUACCGCCCAAGAGUUCAUAUCGACGGCGGUGUUUGGCACCUCGAUGUCGGCUCAUCACAUCCUGGGGCUGAAGUAGGUCCCAAGG
RNAcentral lists this ribosomal RNA (2531 nucleotides) under human gut metagenome. Its description in RNAcentral is "bacterial LSU rRNA". It matches the Rfam family "Bacterial large subunit ribosomal RNA", at positions 14 to 2570 of the family's 2925-position model. The record is from RNAcentral.